This 441-nucleotide ribosomal RNA is filed under the name uncultured bacterium. RNAcentral describes it as "partial 16S ribosomal RNA". It matches the Rfam family "Bacterial small subunit ribosomal RNA", at positions 339 to 795 of the family's 1533-position model. The record is from RNAcentral.
CUACGGGGUGCAGCAGUCGAGAAUCUUCCACAAUGGACGAAAGUCUGAUGGAGCGACGCCGCGUGACCGACGAAGCAUUUCGGUGUGUAAAGGUCUUUUAUGAGGGAUGACAUAGCGACAGUACCUCAUGAAUAAGGGGCUGCAAAUCACGUGCCAGCAGCAGCGGUAAUACGUGAGCCCCAAGCGUUAUCCGGAAUUACUGGGUGUAAAGUGUGCGUAGGCGGUUCUGUUAGUCUCCUGCUAAAUCCAUCGGCUCAACCGGUGAACUCCAGGGGAAACGGCAGAACUCGAGAGUGCGAGAGGUCUGUGGAACUCAUCAUGUAGGGGUGAAAUCCGUUGAUAUGAUGGGGAACACCAAAAGCGAAGGCAACAGACUGGCGCAUUUCUGACGCUGAGGCACGAAAGCGUGGGUAGCGAAUGGGAUUAGAUACCCGGGUAGUC